Molecule: long non-coding RNA, 572 nt
Organism: Bombyx mori (domestic silkworm)
Lineage: Eukaryota; Metazoa; Arthropoda; Insecta; Lepidoptera; Bombycidae
Exons: 2
Source: RefSeq, a predicted model, not a curated record
UGAUAUCUGACACCCAACUUCAUAAUGAGAUUACUUUGUUUAAAAAUAAAACUGAAACACGAGUUAUUUUUAUGUAGUUUGAAGAAGUAUACCGCAAUGUUAUAACAGCGCUUUAUGUCGUUUCUUCGGCUGAAAUUCGAUUUACGAAAAGUACAAACAAUGGUUAUGUACAAAACAAGGCUACAUUUAAAUUCACCAGACGAGCGCAUGGUGGACGCACCACUGGUCUCCUCCAGUCCAGCAGUCUCCACCUCCUUGCGUCGAUAAUCCUCCAUGCUAUAAUUAGUAGACUAUUCAGUAUAUAUUAUAUUAUGUUAUAUUCUAUUCUAUAUGAUAUUCUAAUUAUAUUAUAACUAUAUAUUAUAACAUUCUGCUUUUUACUUUUCUUCUAUGAUUCUUAUUCGAUGUGUUGUAACUAUCUGCUCAAAUAGUUAUAAAUUAAUCUAAAUAUGGAUAGACAAACAAAGCUGUUAAUUGCUGUUUCCAAUUUAAAAUUUUUAAGCAAUUAUUAUUUUUCCAAAAUGUUAGUAAUUACACAAAAGUGAAAAUAUAAUAAACAAAAUGACUAAAAA